This is a long non-coding RNA of Astatotilapia calliptera (eastern happy), 1083 nucleotides long. The record is from Ensembl. Lineage: Eukaryota; Metazoa; Chordata; Actinopteri; Cichliformes; Cichlidae.
CGUCACUCUGUCUGUGACGCUGGGUUUAAGAAACAAGAGCUCAGUUAAAAACAUGUUUAUCGCCAUCUUCUGUUAGUACGGAGCAUGUGGUUGGCUAACAGACUCAUAUUAGUUUAUGUUAGCUAACUAGUGACAGAACCAAUAGCUCAGAGGAAACUAAACAUCAGAGUACGAGGAUCACUGUAGUGCUGCAGCAGUGAGGCGUUAAACCAGGAUAUACUGUACACUUUACCUUCUGUGGCAGGAAGUGUCUGUUCGCUGUUUGGCUAGCUACAUGGUUAUGGUUGGGUGUUAGCCUAAUUAGUUGUGAUGUUUGCGUUUGUAAAGCACUUUAUGAGGACUGUGGAGCAGAGCGCGGAUUUAUCACUAAUCAGUAAAAUCGUUUCUAAAUCAAGUACUGAUUAAUCAGUGCAGUACGAUCAGUCAGCAUUUCACACUCUAACCAGCAGGGGCACUGCAGCAACACCUGAAGCGGGCCAAUGAGAGGCGCAGCCGGAAGUUAAAAGGCAGAUGGUUUAUGUGAUUUUUACUGAUUAUUUGUGAUUUGGAUGAUUUUCAGGUAAAGGAACGGAGUUUUGGUGGAGUGUGUUUUUUUUCCCCCCCAUCUCACUUGAUUGCUUCGCCAAACUCUAUUCAGAAAAGAUCAGAUUUCAGUUAAACGUGAUCAACUGAGCUCUGUGAUCUAAGAUAGCUUUUAUAGUUUUGGAUGAAGCAGCAGGAUUCCUACUUUAAUUCAGCUCACUCUGAAACCGACAUGGAGAAAGGUUUCUUAGUACAAAGCGCUGAUGAAGAUGUGAUGAUGCUAAUGUUUUGAUCCACUUUGAACGAGCAGAAUUUGACGUUUCUAUGAGCAGGUUUGGCAGGUCAGAGUUCAGCGUGACUUAUUGUCCCUCACGGAAGCAAAGAUGAGGAGCCCGGCCACGGUCAGGGCCGCUGCAGUUAUCAAAAGCCACCACCGCAUGACGACGGGACACACCCUCCUGUCGCGAAUAGUUCCCCCCGGCCAGGAAAGCUGACCCCUCCACCGGGCGAGAUCACAACAAGUGGGCACGCCUGCUGUCAGCUGUGUUUAGAUGGCUUCAC